CGCAAUGUAGGAAGUAAAUUCCACAUACGUUCCCCUCCUAGGAUGGCGAAGGCAUACACAAUUCGCGACCGUCCCUACCCGCUGCCUGCUCCGGUCUGGUUGGUUGUAAACCGUCUCUGUUAGGGUUAGGCAGGAGGAGUUGGUUAUGGUAACAAUGUCAGGGUAACGUUAAGCCAAUCAAUGGCAGAGUAAGAUAGAGUAGGGCGGGGCAUGCCUUCUCAAUCCUAGGAAAUAAAAUACUCUCGCGUACCGUUCUUGUUUUCCCCGUUUUGACAGCUCGAACUAAACGUUAAAUUAAAUCUGCCUGCUUGUAUAUAUUUAGUCUUUUCUCCUAUACUUUCGGAGAAGUUUCCGACUUGAAUAAUCGACUCGACUAGCUGUAACACUAACAUCACGGUCCGUGAAACCGUCAAGGAAGUCAAAAUGAGUCGCAGUCGGAACCCCCCUCCCCGGGGUCAAGGGGCAGCGCGAGCCAAACAGAUGGGGCUGCUUCUUGACCUGUCCCCGGAUGGAGGGAUGGAUGAUGAGGGAAAUGAUGAAGACCUGGAGGCAGAGCUGUUGAAUCUGG
Molecule: long non-coding RNA, 568 nt
Organism: Perca flavescens (yellow perch)
Lineage: Eukaryota; Metazoa; Chordata; Actinopteri; Perciformes; Percidae
Exons: 3
Source: RefSeq, a predicted model, not a curated record